RNAcentral lists this ribosomal RNA (1338 nucleotides) under uncultured bacterium. RNAcentral describes it as "16S ribosomal RNA". It matches the Rfam family "Bacterial small subunit ribosomal RNA", at positions 33 to 1378 of the family's 1533-position model. The record is from RNAcentral.
ACGCUGGCGGCGUGCUUAACACAUGCAAGUCGAACGGAAAGGCCCUGCUUUUGUGGGGUGCUCGAGUGGCGAACGGGUGAGUAACACGUGAGUAACCUGCCCUUGACUUUGGGAUAACUUCAGGAAACUGGGGCUAAUACCGGAUAGGAGCUCCUGCUGCAUGGUGGGGGUUGGAAAGUUUCGGCGGUUGGGGAUGGACUCGCGGCUUAUCAGCUUGUUGGUGGGGUAGUGGCUUACCAAGGCUUUGACGGGUAGCCGGCCUGAGAGGGUGACCGGCCACAUUGGGACUGAGAUACGGCCCAGACUCCUACGGGAGGCAGCAGUGGGGAAUAUUGCACAAUGGGCGGAAGCCUGAUGCAGCAACGCCGCGUGCGGGAUGACGGCCUUCGGGUUGUAAACCGCUUUCGCCUGUGACGAAGCGUGAGUGACGGUAAUGGGUAAAGAAGCACCGGCUAACUACGUGCCAGCAGCCGCGGUGAUACGUAGGGUGCGAGCGUUGUCCGGAUUUAUUGGGCGUAAAGGGCUCGUAGGUGGUUGAUCGCGUCGGAAGUGUAAUCUUGGGGCUUAACCCUGAGCGUGCUUUCGAUACGGGUUGACUUGAGGAAGGUAGGGGAGAAUGGAAUUCCUGGUGGAGCGGUGGAAUGCGCAGAUAUCAGGAGGAACACCAGUGGCGAAGGCGGUUCUCUGGGCCUUUCCUGACGUUGAGGAGCGAAAGCGUGGGGAGCGAACAGGCUUAGAUACCCUGGUAGUCCACGCUGUAAACGGUGGGUACUAGGUGUGGGGUCCAUUCCACGGGUUCCGUGCCGUAGCUAACGCUUUAAGUACCCCGCCUGGGGAGUACGGCCGCAAGGCUAAAACUCAAAGGAAUUGACGGGGCCCCGCACAAGCGGCGGAGCAUGCGGAUUAAUUCGAUGCAACGCGUAGAACCUUACCUGGGUUUGACAUGGAUCGGGAGUGCUCAGAGAUGGGUGUGCCUCUUUUGGGGUCGGUUCACAGGUGGUGCAUGGCUGUCGUCAGCUCGUGUCGUGAGAUGUUGGGUUAAGUCCCGCAACGAGCGCAACCCUUGUUCACUGUUGCCAGCACGUUAUGGUGGGGACUCAGUGGAGACCGCCGGGGUCAACUCGGAGGAAGGUGGGGAUGACGUCAAGUCAUCAUGCCCCUUAUGUCCAGGGCUUCACGCAUGCUACAAUGGCUGGUACAGAGAGUGGCGAGCCUGUGAGGGUGAGCGAAUCUCGGAAAGCCGGUCUCAGUUCGGAUUGGGGUCUGCAACUCGACCUCAUGAAGUCGGAGUCGCUAGUAAUCGCAGAUCAGCAACGCUGCGGUGAAUACGUUCCCGGG